RNAcentral lists this ribosomal RNA (503 nucleotides) under uncultured bacterium. Its description in RNAcentral is "partial 16S ribosomal RNA". It matches the Rfam family "Bacterial small subunit ribosomal RNA", at positions 30 to 523 of the family's 1533-position model. The record is from RNAcentral.
AUUGAACGCUGGCGGCAGGCUUAACACAUGCAAGUCGAGCGGGGUGAUGGUGCUUGCACUAUCACUUAGCGGCGGACGGGUGAGUAAUGCUUAGGAAUCUGCCUAUUAGUGGGGGACAACAUCUCGAAAGGGAUGCUAAUACCGCAUACGUCCUACGGGAGAAAGCAGGGGAUCACUUGUGACCUUGCGCUAAUAGAUGAGCCUAAGUCGGAUUAGCUAGUUGGUGGGGUAAAGGCCUACCAAGGCGACGAUCUGUAGCGGGUCUGAGAGGAUGAUCCGCCACAAUGGGACUGAAACACGGCCCAGACUCCUACGGGAGGCAGCAGUGGGGAAUAUUGGACAAUGGGGUGAACCCUGAUCCAGCCAUGCCGCGUGUGUGAAGAAGGCCUUAUGGUUGUAAAGCACUUUAAGCGAGGAGGAGGCUCUUUUGGUUAAUACCCAAGAUGAGUGGACGUUACUCGCAGAAUAAGCACCGGCUAACUCUGUGCCAGCCGCCGCGGUAA